AAGACGUGGGGCCUGGCCGGGAGAAGGGCUUGUUGAUGGAGAAAAUUGAUGGGUUUGUGGUGGUUAGGGAUACCACCGCGCCGUCAUGGUGUGCAUGAGGUUUGUGAUUCUGCACUUCUGGAACAUGAUUUCCACUUCGUUUGCUUCUGGUUUCACCAACCUUUCCAUGGUGGUUUGGUACUGAACUAGAGAAACAGAGAAAGGUUCUUUGCUUUGUGUUCUUACUUGUUAUUCUUGCUCUUUCUGUUCUGACUUUGGAUUUAUCAAAUCAAUUUAUUAUGGAUGAAAAUAGUUGCUUGCUGGAAGGGUGCUGUUCUUUCUUUCCUUUGAAUCAUUUCCCUUUUUUUUAUUGAUGUUUACAAUUUCUUUGUACAUGUUUAAUUCUAGCUUAGUGUGAAUCAGAGAUAUAGCUUCAGGGAUCAACAGUAUAAUGGUUAAUCCUUCAUUACACUUCUUAGUUUCUAAUUCAAAUAUAUAUAAUUUUCUUUCAUCUGUUUGAGUUGUUCAUACGUUAAUUAUGAACUAUUCCCAUGUGGUUAUGUGUUUCAAUCAAUAAAAUCUCUGUUUUCAUUGGUGUACAAACUUGCCCAGGCUCCACAAAAUUCUUGGCUCCGCCACUGUGCAGGGAGAAUAUCUAUGGAAGGAACGAGGAAUCCACAUCUCACAGCAACUUUCCCAUUUGCAAUCUUUGUACUCGGAGUAGACAUCUGAUAGGCUUUGUUUUCGGAUUGCCCUCUAGGACUAUGUUGUGGUUUAUCCUGCCAAGUGCCAACAAAUAAUUUUAGUACCAAAGAGCAUGGUUUGGC
This 806-nucleotide long non-coding RNA is filed under the name Lotus japonicus. RNAcentral describes it as "long non-coding RNA (LJAP_LNC000140)". The record is from RNAcentral. Lineage: Eukaryota; Viridiplantae; Streptophyta; Magnoliopsida; Fabales; Fabaceae.